RNAcentral lists this ribosomal RNA (521 nucleotides) under uncultured bacterium. RNAcentral describes it as "bacterial SSU rRNA". It matches the Rfam family "Archaeal small subunit ribosomal RNA", at positions 345 to 866 of the family's 1478-position model. The record is from RNAcentral.
AACCUCCGCAAUGUGAGAAAUCGCGACGGGGGGAUCCCAAGUGCCAUUCUUAACGGGAUGGCUUUUCAUUAGUGUAAAGAGCUUUUGGAAUAAGAGCUGGGCAAGACCGGUGCCAGCCGCCGCGGUAACACCGGCAGCUCUAGUGGUAACAAUUUUUAUUGGGCCUAAAGCGUCCGUAGCCGGUUUAAUAAGUCUCUGGUGAAAUCCUGCAGCUUAACUGUGGGAAUUGCUGGAGAUACUAUUAGACUUGAGACCGGGAGAGGUUAGAGGUACUCCCAGGGUAGAGGUGAAAUUCUGUAAUCCUGGGAGGACCGCCUGUUGCGAAGGCGUCUAACUGGAACGGUUCUGACGGUGAGGGACGAAAGUUAGGGGCGCGAACCGGAUUAGAUACCCGGGUAGUCCUAACUGUAAACGAUGCGGACUUGGUGUUGGGGUGGCUUUGAGCAGCUUCAGUGCCGAAGGGAAGCUGUUAAGUCCGCCGCCUGGGAAGUACGGUCGCAAGACUGAAACUUAAAGGAAUU